RNAcentral lists this ribosomal RNA (512 nucleotides) under uncultured bacterium. Its description in RNAcentral is "bacterial SSU rRNA". It matches the Rfam family "Bacterial small subunit ribosomal RNA", at positions 9 to 526 of the family's 1533-position model. The record is from RNAcentral.
GAGUUUGAUCCUGGCUCAGGACGAACGCUGGCGGCGUGCCUAAUACAUGCAAGUAGAACGCUGAAGAGAGGAGCUUGCUCUUCUUGGAUGAGUUGCGAACGGGUGAGUAACGCGUAGGUAACCUGCCUUGUAGCGGGGGAUAACUAUUGGAAACGAUAGCUAAUACCGCAUAACAAUGGAUGACACAUGUCAUUUAUUUGAAAGGGGCAAUUGUUCCACUACAAGAUGGACCUGCGUUGUAUUAGCUAGUAGGUGAGGUAAUGGCUCACCUAGGCGACGAUACAUAGCCGACCUGAGAGGGUGAUCGGCCACACUGGGACUGAGACACGGCCCAGACUCCUACGGGAGGCAGCAGUGGGGAAUAUUGGGCAAUGGGCGAAAGCCUGACCCAGCAACGCCGCGUGAAGGAAGAAGGUCUUCGGAUUGUAAACUUCUUUUAUCAGGGACGAAGUAAGUGACGGUACCUGAUGAAUAAGCCACGGCUAACUACGUGCCAGCCGCCGCGGUAAUAC